This is a long non-coding RNA of Magnolia sinica, 701 nucleotides long. RefSeq lists it as uncharacterized. The transcript has 2 exons. NCBI's taxonomy places the organism in Eukaryota, Viridiplantae, Streptophyta, Magnoliopsida, Magnoliales, Magnoliaceae. The record is from RefSeq and is a predicted model, not a curated record.
UUUUUUUUUUCUCAUAGAAUAAGAGGAGAAAGGAGAAGAGAAAAAGAUUCUGUAGAAGAAAAAGAUUAAGAGUUUCUACCACCGAAAUCUUUGCAUACGGGUUCGCCAAGGUCCAUUCAUAACACUAGUUUCUUCGAUUGUCUUCUCCAAUGGUUGUACUGGGGGUUUUUCUAGUAUCGCUAGUUGAUCGAUUGUGCACAAGUGCAACAUGUAUAAUAGAGAUAUUUGGGUGGACAGUCAAAAGAUACAGACCAUUUUUGUUGGGAAGUUCGGCGCAACCAAACACUCCAUUGGUAAUGAGACAAAUGAAAAUCGUACAUUGUAUAAUUUUGAAGACUCCAUUAUACCUGAAUCAUUUAUCAUCACUGCAUAUGAUGAUUUCAGUAUGAUUUCCAAUCCUCCUUUGGGAGGUUAUACAGCUCCUGAGUAUGCAAUUCUAGGAAAGUUGUCUGAGAAGGCGGACAUAUACAGCUUAGGCAUUCUGCCGCUCGAGAUUGUUGGUUGCAGGAAAAACAAAAAUCUUACUCUGCCAUCAGAAAUGCAGCAUUUUCCUGAAUAUGUAUUCUUUCAAGCUUUCCUGUCCUUUACUUUCCUUGUUCAUGUUUUUAGGCAUGUAAGCUUUAUGAAAGAUCAAGGGUCAUUGAUCUGGUGGAUCCCAAUCUUUGACAAGAUGUGUAUGUGGAAAAAGACAUCUUAAAAGC